UAUGGAUAGAAUGUAAUUCAAUUUAUUUUAACUCAUUUCAUUUUCAAUUCGCGUAUUAACCACCACCAACUUGCACUUAGUGAUUAUUGUAUCAGAAAGGGCCUAUUAUUGUUCAUACAUGAGUAUAUCCAGAAAUAUCAACCACUUCUUUUUAGUGUACAAUAAUAUUACUUUCUCUUUCCUCUUAUUGCUACACAUAUUACAUUACUCAGAAAAAUCAAGAAUCACCAAAAAAACGAAAAAUGGAAAAAUCACAUGAGAAUGAGCAUCCAAUUAAGGCAUUUGGAUGGGCAGCUAGAGACACUUCUGGUGUUCUUUCUCCUCUCAAUUUUUCAAGAAGGAUGACUGGUGAAAAAGAUGUGCAGUUCAAAGUAUUAUAUUGUGGAAUUUGUCAAACUGAUCUUCAUUAGAUCAACAAUGAUUGGGGCAUCACCAAAUAUCCUAUUGUACCUGGGCAAGUUUACUCUUUAAUGCAUUCUUUAUUUUACUUUUUAUGUUCUUUAUUUGUGAUCGCCAAAAUUUUUUAUUGUGCAUAUAGGUAACAAAAACUUGUAAGAAGCGUUGAAUCGAUUUUACAUUAGAGAAUUUUCUAGUGUAACUUUCUGAAUUAUUAUAGAUGUAGCUGUAUUUCCGCUCAUUACAAAAUGAUAGAUUAUACCUAGAAUAUAUACACAAAGCUAGAUACAAAAAGGUCAAGAUCAGAUCCCUCAUAUCGUGCUUUUUACCUACAAUAUGUGACUAUGUGUACCUACAAUAUUUGACUGUGUAUCUAACACAAUCUAACAAUUGAUAUACUUUGACAAAUAUCUUGACAUUGGUAUCUGACUAUCUUAUCACUCCCCCUCAAGUUGGAGCUACAUGUCCUAUGCUCCGAACUUGCCACAAAUGUAUCUAAUCCGAGCUCCUCUAAGGGACUUAGUCAAAAUAUCUGCCAAUUGAUCAUUUGAACCGACGAAGCUGGUGGCCAUACAUCCGGAUUCAAUCUUCUACCUAAUAAAAUGAUAGUCCACUUCUAUAUGUUUCGUUUUUUCAUGGAAAACUGAAUUUGAGGCAAUAUGUAGGGCGGCCUGAUUGUCAUAUAUAAACCUCAUCUGUUUGAAUUCAACACAUUUUAACUCUUGGAGAAGUUGUUUCAACCAAUUAAGCUCGCAUGUAACAAGGGCCAUAGCUCGAUAUUCAUCUUCCACAUUAGAUCUGGCAACAACAUCUUGCUUCUUACUUUUUCAAGAAAUUAAAUUGCCUCCAAUCAUGACGCAAUACCCAAACGUAGAGCGUCUAUCUAUUGGAGAACCUGCCCAAUCCGCAUUAGAAUAUCCAACAAUGUUUCUGUGACCUUUGUCUUAAUAUAUCAAUCCUUCUCCUGGAGCUCUUUUGACAUAUCGGAGGAUGCGAAUUACUGCAUUCCAAUGAUCUUGACAUGGAGCUUGGAGAAACUGACUAACCACACUUACUGCAAAUGAAAUAUCCGGGCGUGUGAUAGUGAGAUAAUUCAGUUUACCGACCAAUCUUUUAUAUCUACCGGGAUCUUUCAGUGGCCUCCCUUGUCCAGGGACGAGUUUAAUGUUUGGAUCCAUAGAAGUGUCAAUCGAUUUGCAAUUUAACAUGCAUGUCUUUUUUAAUAUGUCUAAAGCAUAUUUUCUUUGUGAGAUAGCAAUACUUGUCUUGGAUUGUGCUACCUCAAUUCCCAAAAUAUACUUUAACUUCCCCAAAUCUUUGGUUUGAAUGUGACUGAACAAAUGUUGUCAACAUAAACGACCAAAUAUGACAAUGUCGUCAACAUAAACGACCAGAUAAAUGUUCUUUUCUGGACCAUUAUGUCAAUAGAACACAAAGUGGUCUGCUUUACUUUGAGACAUGCCAAAUUGUUGGACGACAGAACUAAAUCUGCCAAACCAUGCCCUUGGAGAUUGCUUGAGGCCAUAUAGAGAACGUUUGAGACUGCAAACGAAGUCUGACUCCCCCUGAGCAACAAAUCCAGGAGGUUGCUCCAUAUAAACUUCCUCAGCAAGUUCACCAUGCAAAAAUGCAUUCUUAAUAUCUAGUUGAUGAAGCGGCCAAUGAUGCAUUGCUGCCAAGGAGAUAAUCAAGCGAACAGAUGCAAUUUCCGAAACUGGAGAGAAUGUAUCACCAUAGUCAAGAUCAUAAAUCUGGGUCUACCCUUUGGCAACAAGGCGAGCUUUCAGUCGAUCAACUGUUCCAUCCAAACCCACUUUUACCAUAUAGAUCCAUCGACUUCCAACAGUAGAUUUUCCCUUCGUUAACUGGACCAACUCCCAAGUGUUAUUGGUCUGUAAAAUAUUCAUUUCUUCGAUCAUAGCAUCUCUCUACCCUGGAUGUUCUAGUGCUUCACUAAUAGUUUUUGGUACAGGUACAUUAAAUAGGGUAGACACAAAGGUAUAAUAUAAUAGGGACAACCGAUGAUAACUUAAACAGUUAUAUCUUUAUGGUUGUUGAUUUUGUGUAGUACGUAUACCUUUGCGUAUGGCAAUUGGUGGGGUCACUGCAUCUGAUGAAGGCAUGACGGGAGAAGGUGAUGACGGAGCAAGACAUGAGUCAUCGGGAGCGACCAAUGUAUCAGGACUAGGAGUAGUGCUAUAAUUAUCAUUGUUAAGAGAACGAGCAGGCCGAGUGUAUACUUGUAGAGGAAGAGCGGUUUGAGGGUUUUCUGAAAUAGGGACUUGUUGCAGAGGAAGUAUAGGUACUGACAAAACUUGAGGAAUUAAACUUCUGCUUAUAGUGCUUGGUAUAAAAUAGGGAGAUGUUUCAAAAAAUGUCACAUCUGCACUAAUAAAAUAUUUAUUUAUUUUUGGAUCAUAGCAUUUGUAACCUUUUUGGUGACAAGAGUAUUCUAGAAAGGCACACUUCAUUGAUUUUGGUUGGAGUUUGUCAUUUCUAGUACUUUGAUCAUGGACAAAGCAAACACAUCCAAACACUCUCAAAGGUAAAUGAUAAGGAUUUUGACCUGGAAAAAGAAUUGAGUGAGGACUUUGUUGUUGCAACACAGUGGAGGGCAUUCUAUUGAUCAAAUAACAAGCAGCGAGAACAACAUUUCCCCAAAAACAAAGAGGAACGUGAUGGUGUAUAAGUAAAGUACGAGCAGUUUCGAUGAGAUGCUUAUUUUUACAUUCGGUGACUCCAUUUUGUUGAGGAGUAUAUACACAAGAUGUCUGAUGAGUGAUUCCUGAGACAACAUGAAACUAGAAAAGGGAGAAGAUAAGUACUCUUUGGCAUUAUCACUGCGUAAUACCUUUAGAAACACCAAAUUGAUUAUUUAUCUCAGCACAAAAUUUUUGAAAAAUAAAGAAUACUUCAGAAUGAUUUUUCAUCAAAUAUACCCAUGUGCAACGGGAGAAGUCAUUAAUAAAGAUAACAAAAUACUGAAUCCUAGACUUAAAACGACACGACUAGGACCCCAUAUAUCUGAGUGAACAAUGUCAAAUAUACAUGUGGGCCCUGUUAUUGACACUUUUGGAAAAUGAAGUAUGACUAUAUUUCCCAAGUUGACAUGACUCACAUUCAAAAGAAGACAAAGAGAAAAGACUAGGGAUUAACUUUUGAAGUUUUGCGAGACUCGGAUGACCAUAACGGCUGUGGAGAAAAUCAACUAAGGAAGCAGAAGUGAAGGCAACUGGUGGUGGAGAUUUUGACAUGUGAUAUAGUCCCUGUUACUCAUAUCCUAUUUCAAUCGUCUUCCCCGUUCUCUAGUCCUGUACAACAACAGAGUUCGCCAAAAAAGUGACACCAUAAUUUAGGUGCUUGAUUAAUUUGCUUAUAGAUAUCAAAUUAAAUGGACAUUCAGGAGCAAAUAAAGAUGAGUUUAAGGAAAUAGAAGGAAGAAGUUGCACGUCCCCUAUUCCUUUUACUGCAGUUCAUGAUCCAUUAGCAAGGGUAACUGCGGAGAGGGUUGUGGAAUGAAUAAGAUUUGAGAAAAGAUUUUGAUUACCAGAGAUAUGGUCAGAUGCACUAGAAUCCACUAUCCAUGGGCAAGUGGGUGAAGACCUGGUUAGACAAGCAAAGGAAUUACCAAUUUGUGGGGUGCUAGCUAAAGGUGAUUGUUGCGUAGCCGCUUGAUACUGCAAGUAAUCAUUAUAAUCUGCUCCAGAAAAAGUAAUAGAAUUAGACAGUUGACCCUCUAUAUCUUUACGGAUCUGAGCCACAUGAGCUGUACUACAAUUGUUAAUACGUUGUGGUCGACCAUGCAAUUUCCAACAAGUCUGUCGAGUAUGGCCUAGCUUGUUGCAAUAGUUGCAAUAGGGUCUAGAGUUUCUAAUGUUUCUCCUUUGCUGGACAUUUUGUUCCUGUGAGUUCUCAUUUUUCACAGCUAAUACAGAUGUCUCAACGUUAUUGGUAUCAUUUGUUUUUGAACUAAUACACAACAAUGGAGCUGAAACGUCGAUUACAGAAGGAACUGAUGAACUUGCCAAGAUUUGAUCCCUUAUAGGACUCAAAUCAGAUCGAAGUCCUUUUAGUGCUAGAACCAUCAAGAACUUAUCUCUUUGUUGCUCCUGAUGAGAGAGUCAAAUUAAUCUUUCAAGGUAUCGAUUUGUCCUAAAUAACUCGCCAUAUCUUCAUUAUUCUGCUGAAGUUGGACCAAGUCUGAGACAACCUUGUAUAUGCGUUGUAUGUCAUUCAUAUACAAAGUCUUAGCUUUAGUCCAAACUUUAUAGCAAUUUUUACAAGAUUGAAAUAGAUUAAGUUAGGAUCCAAAGAAUUUCAUACGAGAUUGCAUAAUUGAGAAUCAAUUUGAGUCCACUUAGUCCUUUCACUAGUAACAAUAUCACUAGUAUUUUUAAAUGAUCCUCAUAUCCUUAUCCCAUAAACCAUAUCUCGACAGAUGAAGACCAUGGUGUGUAAUUAUUACUACCUUCCAAUUUUAUGGUAGUUAUAAUAGGAGAACUUGAAAUAGAGGAAAACAUGGAUUUGAAAUUUCCUGAAGAUUCAGUUUUCUAUGAGACACUAGUUAGAGAUUCACCUUUCUCUGACAUUAUGGCUUCAACAACUAACUGAAAUUCUAAAAAAAUGAGUUACAAAAAAAAGAAUUUUUUUUUGGUUAAUAGAACUUGAAACAAAGGAAAUAAAAGAACAAGGUUCCUCUUGGUGACUAAAGAUCUUGUAGAACUAUUUCGAUCUUAAAUGAACAAGAGCUACGCCAGAAAAAGGAAGAAACAGUCGAUGAAGAUGACUGGUUUUACUGAAAAUUAUAUGAGUGAUGGGUAAGAUUAGAAUAAACGAUUGGACCUCAUAAACUCAGAAUGACAGUUUGACAUGGUCAGGAAAACCUACAGGAAGUGCUGCUAGUAAAGGAAGAAGCUGGAAUAGUUAUGGAAAAUCUAUCAAAACAGUCACCGAAAAAGGCAACUUGAGCCUCUACAAAGACAGCAGGAAUCUCUGAUACCAUAUUACAGAUGUAGCUGUAUUUCAGCUCAUUACAAAAUGAUAGAUUAUACCUAGAAUAUAUACACAAAGCUAGGUACAAAAAGGUCAAUAUCAGAUCCCUAAUAUCCUGCUCUUUACCUACAAUAUGUGACUAUGUGUACCUACAAUAUUUGACUAUGUGUAUCUAUAACACAAUCUAACAAUUGAUAUACUUUGACAAAUAUCUUGACAUUGGUAUCUGACUAUCUUAACAUGAAUAAAUCCAAUAAAAUGCUUCAAUAUUUUUGAGGGAUCCAUGCAAUUUAAAUUUGGACCAUAUUGUAAAUAUUUAAACCUCAAAAAUAAUUAUGUAAAUACUAGAGUGGACCCGUUCAUAUUACAAAUGGGCAGGACAGUUCGAUGCACUAAGCUCCCACUAUGCAUGGGGUCAGUGAAGGAUCGGACUACAAAAAUCUAUUGAAUGCAACCUUAUCCUACAUUUCUGCAAGAGUAUGUUUCCACUUUUCACAGCUUGAACCGGUUACCUCUUUUGUCAUUCAUAUUACAAAUGUAUGGAGGAAUUGAUUAACAAGAAACUUAUGUGUUGGAGGUCAAUAUAGUUUUGAAUUUAUGAAGUUAAUAUAGUUUUGAAUUUAUGAAAUCAAAAUUAUGUCAAUCUCAAUUGUUUUUGCAAGCAUGAAAUUGUUGGUGUGGUAACUGAGGUUGGUAACAAGGUAGACAAGUUUAAAGUCGGAGAAAAAGUAGGUGUUGGAUACUGAUGUUGCAUUUUUUAAUAUUAUCAUAAUCCUAAGUGUUGCACUACUCCUUUAUCAUAAUUAUAGUGGUGUACUCAACAAUAUUAUCAUAAUCCUAAGUGCUGCACUACUCCUUUAUCAUAAUUAUAAUGGUGCACUAAACAGUUCUUAAUGCCAUGCACUCCUAGAAUUGGUUUUCUUUUAUAUAUAUAUUCAUCAUUAAGCCAUUAUAUAUACAUCCUAACAAUUGUUUUAUUGGUCUGAGAAAACAAAGAGAAAUCUAACAAUCUACGUUGUAUUAUUCAUAUUAAAGAGAGUUUGCUAGUUGAAGGGAGGUGUUCUUUUAGUGGAGCUUUGAAUUCAAUUCUUGUCUAGAGUUGUAGAGUUAUUGUGAGAAGACUGUUGUAUCCUGGAGGGGACAAGUCAAAAGGAUAACUGCUGGACCGGUGAAACACUUGCUGCAGUGGGCUUGAAUCUCCUUAAAGAGAGCAAGAUAUCCGUGCCUCAGCCAAAGAAGAAGAAGAUAAUUUUUUUUUAUUUUCUUCACUUGUAAUUUUCAGUUGUAUUAUUAUUGUAAUUUCACCAACAAUUUUAAGAAAAUUCAAAUGACAACAACUGAAAAAUCCAUGGAUGUCAAGAUAGGAGAUCUUAACAAGUCAUUCUGGUUCAACGAGACUCACUUCAAGAGGUGGAAGGGUAAAGUGUUUUUC
Long non-coding RNA from Capsicum annuum, 6820 nucleotides. RefSeq lists it as uncharacterized. The record is from RefSeq and is a predicted model, not a curated record. The transcript has 2 exons. Lineage: Eukaryota; Viridiplantae; Streptophyta; Magnoliopsida; Solanales; Solanaceae.